AGAGUUUGAUCAUGGCUCAGGAUGAACGCUAGCGGUAUGCUUAACACAUGCAAGUCGAACGAAAAAAUUUGAAAUAAUUAAAGAAAUUUAAAAAAUCUAUUUUUUAGUGGCGAACGGGUGAGUAAUGCGUGAGAAUUUGCCUUUAGGAGGAAGAUAACUAUUAGAAAUAAUAGCUAAUACUCCGUAAAGUCUUGUUAUUCAAGAUGAAAGAAUAAAUUCGCCUAAAGAGAAGCUCACGUCUGAUUAGCUAGUUGGUAGGGUAAAGGCCUACCAAGGCGACGAUCAGUAGCUGGUUUGAGAGGAUGAUCAGCCACAUUGGAACUGAGAUACGGUCCAAACUCCUACGGGAGGCAGCAGUGGGGAAUUUUCUGCAAUGGGCGAAAGCCUGACAGAGCAAUACCGCGUGAGGGAACGAAGGCUUUCGAGUUGUAAACCUCUUUUUUCAAGGAUGAAGAUCUGACAGUACUUGAAGAAUAAGCAUCGGCUAACUCUGUGCCAGCAGCCGCGGUAAUACAGGGGAUGCAAGUGCUAUCCGGAAUUAUUGGGCGUAAAGCGUCUGUAGGUUGAUUUAUAAGUCUUUUGUUAAAUAUUUAAGCUUAACUUAAAAAAUGCAAAGGAAACUAUUUAUCUAGAGUUUGGUAGAGGUAAAGGGAAUUUCCAGUGAAAUGGUGAAAUAUUUAGAUAUUGGAAAGAACACCAAGGGCGAAGGCAUUUUACUGGGCCAUAACUGACACUGAGAGACGAAAGCUAGGGGAGCAAACGGGAUUAGAUACCCCGGUAGUCCUAGCCGUAAACGAUGGAUACUAGAUGUUAUAAUUUUAAAAUUAUAGUAUCGAAGCUAACGCGUUAAGUAUCCCGCCUGGGAAGUAUGCUCGCAAGAGUGAAACUCAAAGGAAUUGACGG
Molecule: ribosomal RNA, 903 nt
Filed under: uncultured bacterium
Lineage: Bacteria
Description: bacterial SSU rRNA
Rfam family: Bacterial small subunit ribosomal RNA
Source: RNAcentral